Molecule: long non-coding RNA, 477 nt
Filed under: Equus caballus (horse)
Lineage: Eukaryota; Metazoa; Chordata; Mammalia; Perissodactyla; Equidae
Description: lncRNA (ENSECAG00000055079.1)
Source: RNAcentral
GAAACCUCGGCGCCUUGAGGGACCGCCGUGUGGCAGCUGCGUCCCUUCCAGAAGUUUCAGCGGUGUGAGCUGCGGCACUUUCGCCGUCAGCAGUGUCUGUUUUUGGCUGUUUGCUCUCACAUGUUGCCAGGGAACACCUUUGGGAGACUCAGAGACACCGGGAGACUGGCGUUUCAAAUAUGUCUUUGUUCUGUCCUGCUCAAUCAACAAUUCCCUUGGAAAUCCAAUUCCAGAGCAAUGAAAUGUUAAAAACCUCUUCUACUUCGGGGCUGGCCGCGUGGCCGAGUGGUUGGGUUCGCGCGCUCCGCUGCAGGAGGCCCAGUGUUUCGUUGGUUCGAGUCCUGGGCGCGGACAUGGCACUGCUCAUCGAACCACACUGGGGCACCAUCCCACAUGCCACAACUAGGUGGACCCACAACGAAGAAUAUACAACUAUGUAACGGCGGGGGGCUUUGGGGAGAAAAAGGAAAAAAUAAA